AUGGCUCCACCGCCGCCCGCCCCUACGCCGGCGGCGAGGCUACUGAGGGAGUACGGGUGGGACCUGAUGCUGGGUUCUAUCGCCGCGUUCUACGCCGUCAUGGUGCCUUACACCAAGGUGGAGGAGAGCUUCAAUGUGCAGGCCAUGCAUGAUAUUCUGUACCACAAUCAUCACAUCGAGAAGUAUGACCAUUUAGAGUUUCCUGGCGUUGUUCCUCGGACAUUUAUAGGAGCAUUGGUAAUAGCUAUUCUCUCGUCGCCUGCGGUUCUCAUAAUCCGUGUAUUUCAUGUUCCAAAGAUUUAUAGUCUUCUAGCAGUUCGAUUAGUAUUGGGCUGUGUUAUCCUGACGACUUUGAGACUUUUCCGAGUUGAGGUCAAAAGAAAGUUUGGUCGCCAUGUUGAAGCAUUCUUUGUGGUACUAACUGCUAUCCAGUUUCAUGUUUUAUUUUACUCAACUCGGCCUCUUCCAAAUAUCUUAGCAUUGGCUUUAGUUAACUUGGCGUACUCUUUCUGGUUCAAGGGAAAUUAUCUACGCACAUUACAGGCACUGAUUGUUGCAGCCGUUGUUUUUAGAUGUGAUAUGAUUCUACUUCUUGGUACAAUAGGGGCUGCACUUUUGCUGAGCAGGUCUUUUUCUCUAAUGGAAGCCAUAAAGUGUUGCAUAAGCACUGCUCUUUUAUGCAUUGGUUUCACGGUACUGGUUGACUCGAUAAUGUGGCAGAGAAUCCUGUGGCCAGAAUUUGAAGUUUUCUGGUUUAAUUCAGUUCUGAACCGGAGUUCAGAAUGGGGUACACAUUCGAUCCAUUGGUACUUCACCUCAGCACUUCCACGCUCCAUGCUUGUAGCCUAUCCUCUUUGCUUGGUUGGUGCUCUUCUUGAUAGGAGGAUAGUGCCAUACGUGCUUCCAGUCACCUUAUUUGUUGUACUCUAUUCGAAACUUCCACAUAAGGAGCUUCGUUUCAUAAUUGCCGCAGUUCCCAUGCUUAAUGUGUCUGCUUCUCUGGCCGCAAACAGAUUAUAUAAUAACAGAAAGAAAAGUGGUUGGAAUUUCCUUUAUGUUCUCAUGCUUGGUGCCUUUCUUGCCAGUCUUGGAUACUCUGCUGUGAGUUUCAUGGCCUCCUACAGCAAUUAUCCUGGUGGCCAUGCUCUAAAGGCUCUACAUGAAGCAGAUUCUUCUAUGAAGGAAAAAGUGCUCCACAUUGAUGUCUUAACCGCGAUGAGUGGGGUUUCUCGUUUCUGCGAAAAUGAAUACCCUUGGAGAUACUCGAAGGAGGAGGACAUUUCCAUUGAAGAAUAUCAGAAUAGAAAUUUCACCUAUCUACUGAAUGAGCACCGCUACGUUAGUGGCUACAAGUGCUUGUUUGGCGUGGACGGAUUCUCCAGAGCCAGAAUUCAACCCCGGUUUCCACCACUUUCCCUGGUGAAAGUGCCGAAAGUGUUCGCACAUGGGAACACGGGAGAUCCCGGUGUUCUCUCGCUAGAUUGGCCCGGCUGCCCCUGA
RNAcentral lists this ribosomal RNA (1500 nucleotides) under Triticum aestivum (bread wheat). Its description in RNAcentral is "partial small subunit ribosomal RNA". Lineage: Eukaryota; Viridiplantae; Streptophyta; Magnoliopsida; Poales; Poaceae. The record is from RNAcentral.